RNAcentral lists this unclassified non-coding RNA (237 nucleotides) under uncultured fungus. Its description in RNAcentral is "sequence contains ITS1, 5.8S rRNA gene". The stretch from base 189 to 237 matches the Rfam family "5.8S ribosomal RNA", at positions 1 to 49 of the family's 154-position model. The record is from RNAcentral. Lineage: Eukaryota; Fungi.
UUUCCGUAAGUUUACCACUACAAAUCUAUUGAACAAUGCUAACAAUCAACAGGUAGGUGAACCUGCGGAAGGAUCAUUAAAAGUUGUACCCUUCGGGGCACUUCCACCCUUGCAAAUUUACUACUGCUUGGCCUUCGGGCCAAAAUUUUACCCGUGACUGUUUUUCUGAAUGAGACCAAAUACAAAAAAACUUUCAACAAUGGAUCUCUUGGUUCGAGCAUCGAUGAAGAACGCAGC